Molecule: long non-coding RNA, 1503 nt
Organism: Antechinus flavipes (yellow-footed antechinus)
Lineage: Eukaryota; Metazoa; Chordata; Mammalia; Dasyuromorphia; Dasyuridae
Exons: 3
Source: RefSeq, a predicted model, not a curated record
AAAUCAUGUUGGUGACCAGCAUACAGAAGAGUAAAAAUAUCCAGGAAGAAGAAACAGACAGAGCACUUGAUCUCCUGAGGUGGAAAGUACUUUCUCUUUCUAGCCAAUGGCUUGUGUGGCAUGUAAUAAGGAAGUUUGCUCCUAAGGUUUCAAAGAAAAUAAAUAGUCCAUGUACUGACAAAGCAACAUCAAGAGCAGUAAAGAGAAGACAAUCCUGAGAGGACAUGAUGGGCAUCAAGUUUCCCAAGACAACAAAUGGUCCUGGAAAGAAGGAAGAUGAAUAUUCUGCUUGGGUCCUGCCUCACUUCAUCACAAACCCUAUGAAUACCACUCGUUAAAUACUAGAGCAAAAAAUAAAAAUAUAAGGACAGUCUUCAUUCCUGCUGAAUUUGUAAAGUCCUCCAGCAGCCAGUUCUUCACUGACAGGUCAUUGCAGCUCUAAGACUCUAUACCUCAAGGGAGAAUGGUCACCUCAGAAUUUAAGUCACAUAUGUAAAUUCUUAAGUGAUCAGGAAAAGGGAGAUUUCCAGUUGGACACCUGAAGCAUAAAAUAUCCUCUCUGAACAAAGAGAACCUGGUGCAUCAAUUAAUGAUGUUUGGAGAAGUAGGAUGUUGAGCAGGAAGAAGUGGGAAUAUUAUGUUGCUCCUGCUUCUAUUUUCUUUUAUAUUCAAAAGCCAUAGUGAUAAGCCAUUAGUCAUCUAUACUCUCUUCCCAGCAAGUCAUCUAGUCCCACCAUGUAAUAUGAGAGUCAAUAUUACAAAUAAGAUAUAUUCAGAAAGUUCAAGAUGACCUAGCUAAAGCUUCUCGCACAUCUGGAUCUGCAGAAUUUUGCCUUCUUUGGUUUAAUUUGAGUUCAGCCUGACUUAACUAUUUAAGGAAAUCAGACCUUCCUCCUCCUUCCCCUCCCUUCCCCAAAGGACUUAUACAAUGAAUUACAUUCAAAUUUCACCUACUUUGCAUCCUGUUAAAUUCCUCAACACAUAGUCCAAAGUUCAUGGGAAAUUGGCAAGAAGAGGAAAUUUCUAAAGUGGGAACUGUUAAAGGAAAGGUGUUAAGGAAGGGAUAAGGUCCAGGAAGAUUAAAAAGUGACUUUUUUUUUUCAGUACUAAAGUUCUUUUGUAUUUGUUUUUUGCACAUCUUAGUUUCAAAUGGUACCAAUCAUUCUACUCUGGAAUUAAGAUAUCUUAGAUACAGAUUUUUACAGAUGAGCUCAUUCAGUGAGUUUUUUCUCACUAAAAAGGGAAUGCAUCAGAAGAUUCAGGAGACAAAAUAAUGAUCAUCAACCUGGUUCAAUUUUUAAACUUUUUCAUUCAUACAAUGGUUACUAUGAAGCAAGUGUGGUUACAUUGUAAAUAUAGUGUAUUUGGAGCCAGAGUACCUGAAUUUGAAUCCUGUACCUUCCAUUUUUCUAUGUUUGUGAUCAUAAGGAUUAUUUGAAUCACCCAGUUUUUGGUGAUUUUAUCAGUUAUUUUAGUUGGUUGAACUCAUCUGACUCUUGGCAA